This 253-nucleotide ribosomal RNA is filed under the name uncultured bacterium. RNAcentral's name for it is "partial 16S ribosomal RNA". It matches the Rfam family "Bacterial small subunit ribosomal RNA", at positions 524 to 776 of the family's 1533-position model. The record is from RNAcentral.
UACAGAGGUGGCAAGCGUUGUUCGGAAUUACUGGGCGUAAAGGGCGCGUAGGCGGCCUUCUAAGUCAGACGUGAAAUCCCCCGGCUUAACCUGGGAACUGCGUCUGAUACUGGAAGGCUUGAGUGCGGGAGAGGGAUGUGGAAUUCCAGGUGUAGCGGUGAAAUGCGUAGAUAUCUGGAGGAACACCGGUGGCGAAGGCGGCAUCCUGGACCGACACUGACGCUGAGGCGCGAAAGCUAGGGGAGCAAACGGG